GAUGAACGCUGGCGGCGUGCCUAAUACAUGCAAGUCGAGCGAACGGACGAGAAGCUUGCUUCUCUGAUGUUAGCGGCGGACGGGUGAGUAACACGUGGAUAACCGACCUAUAAGACUGGGAUAACUUCGGGAAACCGGAUCUAAUACCGGAUAAUAUUUUGAACCGCAUGGUUCAAAAGUAAAAGACGUUCUUGCUGUCACUUAUAGAUGGACCCGCGCUGCAUUAGCUAGUUGGUAAGGUAACGGCUUACCAAGGCAACGUUGCAUAGCGGACCUGGCAGGUGGAUCGGCAAACUCGGAACUGGGACACGGUCCAACCCCCUAGGGGAGGCAGCAGUAGGAAAUCUGGAGCAAUGGGCGAAAGCUUGACGGAGCAACGCCGCGUGAGUGAUGAAGGUCUUCGGUUCGUAAAACUCUGUUAUUGGGGAAGAACAUAUGUGGAAGUAACUGUGCACAUCUUGACGGUACAAAAUCAGAAAGCCACGCCAAACUACGU
This 496-nucleotide ribosomal RNA is filed under the name uncultured bacterium. RNAcentral's name for it is "partial 16S ribosomal RNA". It matches the Rfam family "Bacterial small subunit ribosomal RNA", at positions 28 to 506 of the family's 1533-position model. The record is from RNAcentral.